This 253-nucleotide ribosomal RNA is filed under the name uncultured bacterium. RNAcentral describes it as "partial 16S ribosomal RNA". It matches the Rfam family "Bacterial small subunit ribosomal RNA", at positions 524 to 776 of the family's 1533-position model. The record is from RNAcentral.
UACGGAGGGUGCAAGCGUUAUCCGGAUUUGCUGGGCGUAAAGGGCUCGUAGGUGGCCAACUAAGUCAGACGUGAAAUCCCUCGGCUUAACCGGGGAACUGCGUCUGAUACCGGAUGGCUUGAGAUUGGGAGAGGGAUGCGGAAUUCCGCGUGUAGCAGUGAAAUGCGUAGAUAUGCGGAGGAACACCGAUGGCGAAGGCAAUCCCCUGGACCUGUACUGACGCUCAUGCACGAAAGCGUGGGGAGCAAACAGG